UCCGGUUUGGCACCGGCAGUCUCUCCAGAGUCCCCGGCUCGGCUUGUUUAAGGCCUCUCCGCUGGCAACUGAAGACGGGGGUUGCGCUCGUUGCGGGACUUAACCCAACAUCUCACGACACGAGCUGACGACAGCCAUGCAGCACCUGUGCACGGACCCCGAAGGGGGCCCUCCCUUUCAGGAGGCUUUCCCGUGCAUGUCAAGCCCAGGUAAGGUUCUUCGCGUUGCGUCGAAUUAAACCACAUGCUCCACCGCUUGUGCGGGCCCCCGUCAAUUCCUUUGAGUUUCAGCCUUGCGGCCGUACUCCCCAGGCGGGGCACUUAAUGCGUUAGCGCCGGCACUCGGAGGGUCGCUCCCCCGAGCACCUAGUGCCCAUCGUUUACGGCGUGGACUAC
Molecule: unclassified non-coding RNA, 395 nt
Filed under: uncultured Gemmatimonadaceae bacterium
Lineage: Bacteria; Pseudomonadati; Gemmatimonadota; Gemmatimonadia; Gemmatimonadales; Gemmatimonadaceae
Description: contains 16S-23S intergenic spacer region
Source: RNAcentral